UCCUUCCCCAAACCCCCUCACGGACAGAGGAAGCAGGAGAGACAGAAGAGAGAGGGAGAGGGCCAGCCCGGGUGGCCUUCGGCCUCCUCUUGGUCGACGGUCAGCUGGCCGCCAGCGGUUGCGGCGGUGACUGACGAGGAAGAGACCGAGAGUGGUCUCGGUUUGGGGCCAAAACAAAGGGAGGAAAGCAUGCAUCGGCUAAGAUCGGAGAGCACAAAGGGAAGAGGGCUUACCGGCAGUCGACGGAAGUGGCGGAUCUCGGCCGGGGGAGGCUCGGUCCGGUGUCAGGCGGCGGCGGCGACGCUUGAACCCAAGGAGAUGGGUCUCAGAACAGGGGGUGGCCGCGAGGGGGAUCCGGGCGGCGCUCGGUCGGGAGGGUACACCGGUC
Molecule: long non-coding RNA, 388 nt
Filed under: Phoenix dactylifera (date palm)
Lineage: Eukaryota; Viridiplantae; Streptophyta; Magnoliopsida; Arecales; Arecaceae
Description: long non-coding RNA (PDAC_LNC018363)
Source: RNAcentral